GCGCGAAAACUUUACAAUGCGGGGAACCGUGAUAAGGGGACAUCGAGUGCCAGCUUCCAAUGUUGGCUGUCCAGAUGUGUAAAAUACAUCUGUUAGCAAGGGCCGGGCAAGACCGGUGCCAGCCGCCGCGGUAACACCGGCGGCCCGAGUGGUGAUCGUUAUUAUUGGGUCUAAAGGGUCCGUAGCCGGUUUGGUCAGUCUNUUGGGAAAUCUGACGGCUCAACCGUCAGGCUUUCAGGGGAUACUGCCAGACUUGGAACCGGGAGAGGUGAGAGGUACUUCAGGGGUAGGGGUGAAAUCNNNUANUCCCNNNUGGGACCACCUGUGGCGAAGGNNUCUCNACCAGAACG
Molecule: ribosomal RNA, 350 nt
Filed under: uncultured Methanosarcinales archaeon
Lineage: Archaea; Methanobacteriati; Methanobacteriota; Methanomicrobia; Methanosarcinales
Description: partial 16S ribosomal RNA
Rfam family: Archaeal small subunit ribosomal RNA
Source: RNAcentral